This 189-nucleotide ribosomal RNA is filed under the name Chaca sp. RNAcentral's name for it is "partial 16S ribosomal RNA". Lineage: Eukaryota; Metazoa; Chordata; Actinopteri; Siluriformes; Chacidae. The record is from RNAcentral.
AAGAGGGAAACGUGGUCACACCAAAUGCCAAGAAACACCCACACAACCAAACUGUUAACCCCACACAGGAGGAUCCUCAAGGAAAGACCAAAAGAAAAGGAAGGAACUCGGCAAACACAAGCCCCGCCUGUUUACCAAAAACAUCGCCUCCUGCAAACACCACNGUAUAGGAGGNCUUACCUGCCCAGU